AUUGAACGCUGGCGGCAUGCCUUACACAUGCAAGUCGAACGGCAGCGGGCCUUCGGGUGCCGGCGAGUGGCGAACGGGUGAGUAAUGCAUCGGAACGUGCCAUUGAGUGGGGGGAUAACGUAGCGAAAGUUGCGCUAAUACCGCAUAUUCUGUGAGCAGGAAAGCAGGGGACCGCAAGGCCUUGCGCUCUUUGAGCGGCCGAUGUCAGAUUAGCUAGUUGGUGAGGUAAAGGCUUACCAAGGCGACGAUCUGUAGCGGGUCUGAGAGGAUGAUCCGCCACACUGGAACUGAGACACGGUCCAGACUCCUACGGGAGGCAGCAGUGGGGAAUUUUGGACAAUGGGGGCAACCCUGAUCCAGCCAUGCCGCGUGAGUGAAGAAGGCCUCGGUUGU
Molecule: ribosomal RNA, 393 nt
Filed under: uncultured bacterium
Lineage: Bacteria
Description: bacterial SSU rRNA
Rfam family: Bacterial small subunit ribosomal RNA
Source: RNAcentral